GCAAGCCCAGGGGCUGCUGCGACUGGGACUCUGGGAGUUUCUCAUUUGUCAAGGAGGCCCCGGGGGGCCUGAGCUGAGGGAAAGUAUUAAAAGCAAACAAACAACAAAACAGCAGUGAAGAGGCAUGAAACGGAUUAAAGAGGACUGCCCCAGGCUGUCAGAACCACUCUGCCUGUAACCACCCAGAACAGGAAGUGCCUGGAAAUUUAUGUCCUCCAAGGACUGGCGGUGCAGAGCAACCCUAGCGGGGAACAAAAUGGUUGAAGAAACAGGAUGUUUAUCCCAGCAGCUGGCCGACACCGGGGGACAGGUGCCUUGGCUUUCAAUUUCAGAAGGGUUGUCCUGCGAGAGAGUUUCAUCAGAGGAUGAAAACAAUUAUAUUUUGAAAUAGCAGCUAUAUGGUCUGUUCUAGAAGAGAGUAAGUAGCAGAAAAAAGAUACAGUGUUGGUUUCAGGUCUGACCCUGCCACCAGCUUCCAUGCAACCCCAAGUAAGUUCUGCCUCUGAGCCUUGGUCUACCCAUCUGUGUUCUCUGUGGACAUGCCCUCUGAUCCCACAGGCCCUGCGGACCAUACCAGCCUGGUUUCUUUCCUUAUUCCCAUCACAUUUCUCCAGCAUGACUGCCCUGAGUUUCUGGAACAUGGCCUGGUAAGGAUGUAGAAACCAGUGUGUCUCCCUGGUUCUCCUGCCUGUGGACGUGGGAGCAAAGAGGAUGAAGCAGGGCCCUGAGACCAGGCCCACGGGACUCAUCAUG
Long non-coding RNA from Balaenoptera ricei (Rice's whale), 753 nucleotides. RefSeq lists it as uncharacterized. The transcript is spliced from 3 exons. The record is from RefSeq and is a predicted model, not a curated record. Lineage: Eukaryota; Metazoa; Chordata; Mammalia; Artiodactyla; Balaenopteridae.